CCGAGCACCGCCCCCAGCCACGCUGCAGCGAGACCCCAGAGAGGUCCGGGACCCCGGGGCCCGCAGCUGCUAGACACCAACCACAGCCCAGCGGCCACGAGACCCCAGUACGCAGGGAACCCCACCCCAACCCAGGAGUAGAGAAUACAACCCAGAGCAGAGUACACCCGCUUACAGUGAAAAGAAAAACUUCCAAGUAAA
This is a long non-coding RNA of Bubalus bubalis (water buffalo), 201 nucleotides long. RefSeq lists it as uncharacterized. The record is from RefSeq and is a predicted model, not a curated record. NCBI's taxonomy places the organism in Eukaryota, Metazoa, Chordata, Mammalia, Artiodactyla, Bovidae. The transcript has 2 exons.